RNAcentral lists this unclassified non-coding RNA (307 nucleotides) under plant metagenome. RNAcentral describes it as "partial contains 5.8S ribosomal RNA, internal transcribed spacer 2, and large subunit ribosomal RNA". The stretch from base 1 to 105 matches the Rfam family "5.8S ribosomal RNA", at positions 50 to 154 of the family's 154-position model. The record is from RNAcentral.
GAAAUGCGAUAAGUAGUGUGAAUUGCAGAAUUUAGCGAAUCAUCGAAUCUUUGAACGCACAUUGCGCCCCUUGGUAUUCCAUGGGGCAUGCCUGUUCGAGCGUCAUUUCAACCCUCAAGCACUGCUUGGUGUUGGGCGUUUGUCCCGCCUACGCGCGUGGACUCGCCUCAAAGUCAUUGGCGGCUGAUCCCCUUCGGCUCGUAAGCGCAGCACAGUCGGCGCCCGGAGCUCUGGUGGGAUGGCGUCCAGCAAGCUAUAUUUUCAGGCUUGACCUCGGAUCAGGUAGGGAUACCCGCUGAACUUAAGC